GCCGCAAGGUUAAAACUCAAAAGAAUUGACGGGGGCCCGCACAAGCGGUGGAGUAUGUGGUUUAAUUCGAUGCAACGCGAAGAACCUUACCUGGUCUUGACAUCCCGGGGAUUUUCUGGAAACAGAAAAGUGCUCUUUAUAGAAGAGCCCGGAGACAGGUGCUGCAUGGCUGUCGUCAGCUCGUGUCGUGAGAUGUUGGGUUAAGUCCCGUAACGAGCGCAACCACGCCCUUAGUUUGCCAUCAUUAAGUUGGGCACUCUAGAGGGACAGCCCCGGUUAACGGGGAGGAAGGUGUGGAUGACGUCAAGUCCUCAUGGCCCUUAUGGCCAGGGCUACACACGUACUACAAUGGGCGGUACAAAGGGUAGCUACACCGCGAGGUGGAGCUAAUCCUCCAAAACCGUUCUCAGUCCGGAUCGGAGUCUGCAACCCGACUCCGUGAAGUUGGAAUCGCUAGUAAUCGUGGAUCAGCAAGCCACGGUGAAUACGUUCCCGGGCCUUGUACACACCGCUCGUCACACCA
RNAcentral lists this ribosomal RNA (523 nucleotides) under uncultured delta proteobacterium. RNAcentral describes it as "bacterial SSU rRNA". It matches the Rfam family "Bacterial small subunit ribosomal RNA", at positions 885 to 1404 of the family's 1533-position model. Lineage: Bacteria; Deltaproteobacteria. The record is from RNAcentral.